UCAAUUGAUGCGGACACAAUUUGUGGACUACAAGUAUUGAGACCAGAAGUUCUAGUAAGUGGACACCAUCUUUUUUUCUAUUUUUUAAUUUUUUUCUUUUUCUUUUCCUUUAUGGAUGGGCAACCAUAUUUUUUUUUGUUUUUUUGUGUGGAUAACCUUCUUUUUCUAUAAUUCUUACUAUUUUUUUCUUCACUUCUCUUUUUUUU
Molecule: long non-coding RNA, 206 nt
Filed under: Linum usitatissimum (flax)
Lineage: Eukaryota; Viridiplantae; Streptophyta; Magnoliopsida; Malpighiales; Linaceae
Description: long non-coding RNA (LUSI_LNC005969)
Source: RNAcentral